AUGCUGACCCCAGACUGUGAAGACACCAUCUCUUGGCGUUGGACCCCUAACGGCAGCUACUCCUCUGCUUCAGCUUACGCGGCCCAGUUCUACGGAUCCUUCCCCAGGUUCUCGCAGUCCAAGAUUUGGGAGGCCCAUGCAGAGCCAAAGUGCAAGCUCUUCUCCUUGUUGGUUCUCCAUCGGAAGAUCCUCAUGACGGACAUGCUAGCUAUUUGUGGCUGGCCACAUGACCCUAUCUGCCCUCUCUGUCUGUGGGCGCCGGAAACAACAAAUCACUUGUGCAAAGGCUGUCUGUUCGCGGUAGCGGUUUGGUCGCGUGUACAACAGUGGACAGGGGAGGUGCCAACGGCCUCGAUGUCGCUGCCGCCUGCCAUGGGAAUCUCAGAUUGGUGGAAUUCGCUCAUCGCCCCGCUCUCCAAGGAAGAUAGUUGA
Molecule: ribosomal RNA, 432 nt
Filed under: Triticum aestivum (bread wheat)
Lineage: Eukaryota; Viridiplantae; Streptophyta; Magnoliopsida; Poales; Poaceae
Description: partial small subunit ribosomal RNA
Source: RNAcentral